RNAcentral lists this ribosomal RNA (253 nucleotides) under uncultured bacterium. RNAcentral's name for it is "partial 16S ribosomal RNA". It matches the Rfam family "Bacterial small subunit ribosomal RNA", at positions 524 to 776 of the family's 1533-position model. The record is from RNAcentral.
GACGAACCGUACGAACGUUAUUCGGAAUCACUGGGCUUAAAGGGUGCGUAGGCUGCGCAGCAGGUUGGGUGUGAAAUCCCUCGGCUUAACCGAGGAACUGCGCCCAAAACUGCUGUGCUCGAGGGAGAUAGAGGUGAGCGGAACUUAGGGUGGAGCGGUGAAAUGCGUUGAUAUCCUAAGGAACACCGGUGGCGAAAGCGGCUCACUGGAUCUCUUCUGACGCUGAGGCACGAAAGCUAGGGUAGCGAACGGG